UGGUCGGGGCCAUGGAGCUCAUGGAGGCAAGGCCGAAGAUAAGGAGUGGAUCCCUGUCACCAAGCUGGGCCGCCUGGUCAAGGACAUGAAGAUCAAGUCUUUGGAGGAGAUCUAUCUUUUCUCCCUGCCCAUCAAGGAGUCUGAGAUUAUUGACUUUUUCCUGGGGGCGUCCCUCAAGGAUGAGGUCUUGAAGAUCAUGCCUGUGCAGAAGCAGACUCGGGCUGACCAGCGCACCAGCUUUAAGGCAUUUGUAGCCAUUGGGGACUACAAUGGUCAUGUCGGGCUAGGUGUUAAGUGUUCCAAGGAGGUAGCCACUGCCAUCCGAGGUGCCAUCAUCUUGGCCAAACUCUCUAUUGUCCCUGUGCGGAGAGGCUACUGGGGGAACAAGAUUGGCAAGCCUCAUACUGUCCCAUGCAAGGUGACAGGCCGCUGUGGUUCUGUGCUGGUGCGUCUCAUCCCUGCCCCCAGGGGCACUGGCAUCGUGUCGGCUCCUGUGCCCAAGAAGCUACUGAUGAUGGCUGGUAUUGAUGACUGCUACACUUCAGCCAGGGGCUGCACUGCCACCCUGGGCAACUUUGCUAAGGCCACCUUUGAUGCCAUCUCCAAGACCUACAGCUACUUGACCCCCGACCUCUGGAAAGAGACCGUGUUCACCAAGUCUCCCUAUCAGGAAUUCACUGACCAUCUUGUGAAAACCCAUACCAGAAUCUCUGUGCAGAGGACCCAGGCUCCAGCUGUGGCUACAACAUAGGAUUUUUUAAAAAAUAUAAAAAUAAUAAAGUGAA
Molecule: non-coding RNA, 785 nt
Organism: Castor canadensis (American beaver)
Lineage: Eukaryota; Metazoa; Chordata; Mammalia; Rodentia; Castoridae
Source: RefSeq, a predicted model, not a curated record